RNAcentral lists this ribosomal RNA (393 nucleotides) under uncultured Orbiliaceae. RNAcentral describes it as "LSU rRNA". It matches the Rfam family "Eukaryotic large subunit ribosomal RNA", at positions 231 to 641 of the family's 3401-position model. Lineage: Eukaryota; Fungi; Ascomycota; Orbiliomycetes; Orbiliales. The record is from RNAcentral.
CAGGUCUGCUUCCGUGUGAAACUCCUUCGACGAGUCGAGUUGUUUGGGAAUGCAGCUCAAAAUGGGUGGUAAAUUUCAUCUAAAGCUAAAUAUUGGCGGGAGACCGAUAGCGCACAAGUAGAGUGAUCGAAAGAUGAAAAGCACUUUGAAAAGAGAGUUAAACAGUACGUGAAAUUGUUGAAAGGGAAGCGCUUGCGAUCAGACUCGCUUUCGGUUGAUCAACGUUCCUUCUGGUUCGUGCACUCUGCCGUUUGCGGGCCAGCAUCGGUUGGGGCGGCGGGACAAAGGCUUUGGGAAUGUGGCUCCUUCGCGGGAGUGUUAUAGCCCAUCGUGUCAUGCCGCCAGCUCCGACCGAGGUCCGCGGUUCGCCUAGGAUGCUGGCUUAAUGGUUGU